Molecule: ribosomal RNA, 157 nt
Filed under: Trichoderma hamatum
Lineage: Eukaryota; Fungi; Ascomycota; Sordariomycetes; Hypocreales; Hypocreaceae
Also listed under: 1 other name
Description: 5.8S ribosomal RNA
Rfam family: 5.8S ribosomal RNA
About the family: 5.8S ribosomal RNA (5.8S rRNA) is a component of the large subunit of the eukaryotic ribosome.
Source: RNAcentral
AUGAAUCAAAACUUUCAACAACGGAUCUCUUGGUUCUGGCAUCGAUGAAGAACGCAGCGAAAUGCGAUAAGUAAUGUGAAUUGCAGAAUUCAGUGAAUCAUCGAAUCUUUGAACGCACAUUGCGCCCGCCAGUAUUCUGGCGGGCAUGCCUGUCCGA